RNAcentral lists this transfer RNA (64 nucleotides) under Anaplecta sp. 8 ZQW-2020. RNAcentral's name for it is "tRNA-His". The record is from RNAcentral. Lineage: Eukaryota; Metazoa; Arthropoda; Insecta; Blattodea; Anaplectidae.
AUUCAAGUAAUUUAAUUAAAAUGUUGAUUUGUGGUGUCAAAUAUGUAUUCUUUUGCCUUGGAUU